CGAUGCAUGGCAACUGGUUUGUUUGCACUAUGUAACCCAAUAUAACCUUUUCUUUUGUGCAGGUAUUGAGGCCACAUCCAGCCGUCAUAACCACAAAACAUGCCAGUUUUACAUGUGCUGCUAUUCAAUCUGUCAUCAGCAACCAUCUCAUCGAUUGGAUAAUCAGGAUCCCGUUCCAUUCCAGAAACUUCCCAUGUCGGUGGAGUUACCGAUGUCUUCUUCUCCUUUCUUUUUAAAAAGUCCUCGUGUACGCACAUGUGAGUGUGGGUGUAUUCACGAGGACGCCCUUUUCCCUAUUCCGCCUGAUGUAAUUCAACUUUUCAGCGGAUGGAUGGAGCAACUGUGAGGAUGCCUGGCCGAUUUCCCAGGCUAAAAGGUAGGAAAAAAUUCAAUUCCUUUUCCAUGCAAAUUCCUUGUGACUAUUUGGUGGCAUUGAUUAUAAAUCGUUAUCCAGAGUACGGAAUACGAUUAUUCCUGAGCUACCGGUAUGCGGUUGACUCGAACUGUUUUCUCUUGGCAUUUUCUGUUUACUCAGUCAGGAUUCAUUUUUUAAAAAAUCAUUUUUAUAACGACCCACUUUUGUACUUCACAACUUUGUCUGCGCGUAAACAAUCGAAUUUCAAACUAUUUGAACUUUAAACACUUUAAACAAAGUUUCAACUUGGAAAAUUUGUUUCAAACCAAGAGGGACUUCACUUGCUACCGCCAAACUGGCACCUCCUCGCGCAAUGAAAUGGGAUUUUUUAUUUUUCUUUUCCAGACCAUUUGCCAAUAAGCCCAAUAUAAUCUCAUCUAUUUAAAUGUGAA
Daphnia pulex (common water flea) is the source of this 807-nucleotide long non-coding RNA. RefSeq lists it as uncharacterized. The transcript is spliced from 2 exons. NCBI's taxonomy places the organism in Eukaryota, Metazoa, Arthropoda, Branchiopoda, Diplostraca, Daphniidae. The record is from RefSeq and is a predicted model, not a curated record.